This 440-nucleotide ribosomal RNA is filed under the name uncultured bacterium. Its description in RNAcentral is "partial 16S ribosomal RNA". It matches the Rfam family "Bacterial small subunit ribosomal RNA", at positions 338 to 795 of the family's 1533-position model. The record is from RNAcentral.
CCUACGGGUGGCAGCAGUGGGGGAUAUUGCACAAUGGGGGGAACUCUGAUGCAGCGACGCCGCGUGAGCGAUGGAGUACUUCGGUAUGUAAAGCUCUGUUAGCAGGGAAGAAAAUGACGGUACCUGACCAAGUAUCUCUGGCUAAAUACGUGCCAGCAGCCGCGGUAAUACGUAGGGGGCAAGCGUUAUCCGGAUUUACUGGGUGUAAAGGGAGCGUAGGCGGCAGGGCAAGCCUGAUGUGAAAGCCCGGGGCUCAACCCCGAGAGUGCAUUGGAAACUGUCCUGCUGGAGUGCCGGAGGGGCAGGCGGAAUGCCUAGUGUAGCGGUGAAAUGCGUAGAUAUUAGGAGGAACACCAGUGGCGAAGGCGGCCCGCUGGACGGUGACUGACGCUGAGGCUCGAAAGCGUGGGGAGCAAACAGGAUUAGAUACCCCUGUAGUC